RNAcentral lists this ribosomal RNA (427 nucleotides) under uncultured bacterium. Its description in RNAcentral is "bacterial SSU rRNA". It matches the Rfam family "Bacterial small subunit ribosomal RNA", at positions 355 to 774 of the family's 1533-position model. The record is from RNAcentral.
UGGGGAAUUUUGGACAAUGGGCGAAAGCCUGAUCCAGCCAUGCCGCGUGAGUGAAGAAGGCCUUCGGGUUGUAAAGCUCUUUCAGCCGGAAAGAAAUCGCGCAGGCUAAUACUCUGCGUGGAUGACGGUACCGGAAGAAUAAGCACCGGCUAACUACGUGCCAGCAGCCGCGGUAAUACGUAGGGUGCGAGCGUUAAUUGGAAUUACUGGGCGUAAAGCGUGCGCAGGCGGUCUUGUAAGACAGUCGUGAAAGCCCCGGGCUUAACCUGGGAACUGCGAUUGUGACUGCAAGGCUAGAGUGUGGCAGAGGGGGAUGGAAUUCCGCGUGUAGCAGUGAAAUGCGUAGAUAUGCGGAGGAACACCGAUGGCGAAGGCAAUCCCCUGGACCUGUACUGACGCUCAUGCACGAAAGCGUGGGGAGCAAACA